Molecule: RNA transcript, 1812 nt
Organism: Prosopis cineraria
Lineage: Eukaryota; Viridiplantae; Streptophyta; Magnoliopsida; Fabales; Fabaceae
Exons: 6
Source: RefSeq, a predicted model, not a curated record
AUCCUUGCCAGACGAAGCGGAUUUGAAUUCAAAUAACCCGCGCAUCUUCCGAUCUUCGGAUUGCAGAUGCAGGGUGGGGAUUCACACUGUCACAGUCGAGAAGAAGCCUUAUCUUCCUCGGUUAAUCCGAUCGCCCAUCUGACUAUCAGAGUCUCACUAUGAAAUCCGAACAUUUUCUCUCUUCCGCUAGCCCUGAGCUUCUCAGUCGAAAACCCUCCUCUUAAUUCCCCCCUACUUUAGAAAAUGGCCUCCCCAAUAGCUUACUCCCAAAUCGACGAUAAGGAUCUCGACGACGCCGCUUUGUGGGCUGUUAUUGAUUCCGCCACUGCCUCCCGUUCCACAACCAAGUGCAAAUCCCUUGCCAUCAAAUAUAAUAAUACCACAUCCCCAUCUCCGAUCUCAAAACCCUUGCCACCGACCAAGUUCCAGAGAAUCUCGAGGGAUUCCCCUUCAGCUUCCAUCGAAUCCAAGGCUACAGGCGACGGUGAAGUGGAUCAUGAACCUUGGUCGUACCGGCCUCCUAGGAAGGUUGCAAGGAUUUGUCCUUCAGAGACGAGCGAGAGUAGUCCACUGGCUCUGGUGAAUAAUGGGCAGCGAACGCCAUCGGCAGCAGCUUUUUAUUCGUCACGGGAGGCGCAUCUGUCGCCUGAGAUAGGGAGGCUUCGAGUGAAAGAGAUUAGUCCUUAUACAGAGGUCUCUCCAGGGUACAGUGACAGGAGCGAGGAGAGGGAGAUCACGAUGUAUGGAUUUUCUGGGAAGUUCCCUUCAGUUUCAUUGUUCAAGGAAUACCAAAAUACAGCCAUGGCGAUUUUGGAGAAGACUGAUUAUACAUUGAUUUCGGGGAAGCCUUUCAUAAAAAAGUCAGGUUGGAGGAAGAUAUCUUGCUUCUUCAAUAUUUCUUUUGAAAUUAGAGACAAGAAUAUUGAGUUUGAUGAGAAUCGUAAUGUCCAGCGCGCUGAGUUUGUGGUUCGGGCAUACAUGCAGGGAGGCAGGUUCUCAGAUGGAUGGGGCUCUUGUGAGCGGCGUGAGAAGAGAUUUCAGAAACCGAAUCAUGACGUACCUAGCACAGCAGAGACGAGAGCCAAAAACAAAGCAUGUCAAAACUGACGUGGGAGAUGGUAGACAAUGUGAUUUGUUGUCAGAAUCAUAGCCGGAGCUGGAUGCUUCUGACUUCACCACCACAUUCAUUUUCAUUUUCACCGCCACCUCUGCUUCGUCGGCCUUUUUUCUCGACAGAGGAGUCACAAAGUUUGUCAAUGGGUUUGGUCCAUAAAUCUUAAUCGUUGCAUUAUCAUAAACCAUAACCUUGAGCACCCAACUCUAGCGAUAGAGGCAAAGGUAGCUUGGAGGGACUUGCGGUCGUGGAUAGGGCCCAACUAGUUGAGGCAAGUGUCAUUGUGUGUCAUGGCAGCGCUUACCCAAGUCUGGGCAUCGCUCAUCUACAUGCGGAUGAGGACUUGCAAAGGUGCUUGAGCUUGUGGAGGCUCUUGGACGCUAGCCACCGCCCACAACGUCUCUCUCCCCUCUCUCUUUCCCCCUCUCUCUCCAUGGCAUCUCUCUUUCCAUGCAGCUGAACUGUCGAGGUUGUGGGUGGUAGGAGGAGAGGUGUGGAUUUGUUAGGAAUUGGAGAAUACCGAUCUAGUGACGGUGCAGGCUACGUCGGUUGAUGAUAUUAUAAUAUUACAGAGUACUGUUGAUUGGGACGGUGUCCUCCCAGACCAUCAGCUUUUGCUUUUUGCCCAAUUGUGCGUAAAGCUAUAAUAUUCUAUAAUGGUUCCGAAUGUAUGAAAAUAUUAAAUCUACAAUACUAUU